GGACGGGUAGCCCAAUCUGGUAGAGGCACGUGGUCGAGAGCCACGGCGCUGAGGGUUCGAGUCCCUCCCCGUCCA
This 75-nucleotide transfer RNA is filed under the name Myxococcales bacterium. Its description in RNAcentral is "tRNA-Leu". It matches the Rfam family "tRNA". Rfam says of the family: Transfer RNA (tRNA) molecules are approximately 80 nucleotides in length. Their secondary structure includes four short double-helical elements and three loops (D, anti-codon, and T loops). Lineage: Bacteria; Pseudomonadati; Myxococcota; Myxococcia; Myxococcales. The record is from RNAcentral.